GAAUAUUGGUCAAUAGUCUAAGGACUGAACCAGCAACUUGGGGGAAUGUAAAGUUUUUAACAAAACAAAUAUCUUAAGAUAUAAAGUUCUAGAUAAAAUACUUAAAAAGACAAUUUUUUAUCUAUAUGUCUUGACCAAAUCACGUGCCAGCAGUCGCGGUAAUACGUGGAAGACUAGUGUUAUUCAUCUUUAUUAGGUUUAAAGGGUACCUAGACAGUUAAUUUAGCCUAAAGCAGGUACAAAUUAACUAGAGUUUUAUAUGAGAAGGUAGAACUUUUGGUUUGAGAGAUUGAAUUCGUCAAUACUAAAGGGACUGAUAACGGUGAAGGCAACCUUCUAACUAAAAACUGACGUUGAGGGACGAAGGCUUGGGUAGCGAAAAGGAUUAGAUACCCUAAUAGUCCAAGCAGAAAAUUAUGAGUGUCAUAGACUAGAGUUUUUAGUCUAUAAAUGAAAGUGUAAGCAUUCCACCUUAAGAGUAAUAUGGCAACAUAGAAACUUAAAUCAUUAGGCCGUCUCUGAAACCAGUAGUGAAGUAUGUUAUUUAAUUCGAUGACCCCCGAAAAACCUUACCACAAUUUGUAUAUUAUUUAUUUAAUACAGGUGCUGCACGGCUGUCUUUAGUUAAUGUCGUGAGAUUUUGGUUAGUUCCAUUAAUUAACGUAAACCCUUAUUUUAUUUUUAAAUAAAAUAGCUCUGCCAUUUUAUUGGUAAGUUAACAGGGAUC
RNAcentral lists this ribosomal RNA (727 nucleotides) under Sclerococcum mangrovei. Its description in RNAcentral is "SSU rRNA". It matches the Rfam family "Bacterial small subunit ribosomal RNA", at positions 359 to 1156 of the family's 1533-position model. Lineage: Eukaryota; Fungi; Ascomycota; Eurotiomycetes; Sclerococcales; Dactylosporaceae. The record is from RNAcentral.